UACGAAGGGGGCUAGCGUUGCUCGGAAUUACUGGGCGUAAAGGGCGCGUAGGCGGCUUACAUAGUUAGGCGUGAAAUUCCUGGGCUCAACCUGGGGACUGCGUCUAAUACAUGUAGGCUUGAGUGUGAAAGAGGGUUGUGGAAUUUCCAGUGUAGAGGUGAAAUUCGUAGAUAUUGGAAAGAACACCGGUGGCGAAGGCGGCGACCUGGUUCAUUACUGACGCUGAGGUGCGAAAGCGUGGGGAGCAAACAGG
RNAcentral lists this ribosomal RNA (253 nucleotides) under uncultured bacterium. RNAcentral describes it as "partial 16S ribosomal RNA". It matches the Rfam family "Bacterial small subunit ribosomal RNA", at positions 524 to 776 of the family's 1533-position model. The record is from RNAcentral.